AUGAAUGUGAGUGAGACAACAUACUCGUGAGAAGAGAUUUGAUAUCGUAGUAUUACAGUAUGUUUGAGUCAUCUGUGUCGGUCUUGUUUAACUGGUUAAAACACGGUGUUGAUCGAUAGGACGUCUUGACCAAUACAGUUAUCGAAGGCCAUGUACGAUUUAAAGUUGACGAGAAAAGGACUUGCUUGACUAGAGCAGUGUUCCACUGUACUGUGUUAAUGGUGCCAGGCUCAGCACGUCUAUAUAUCUAUACUAGAGCAGUAUUCCACUGUACUGUGUUAAUGGUGCCAGCCAGGCUCAGCACGUCUAUACUAUAUAUCUAUAUUAGAGCAGUAUUCCACUGUACUGUGUUAAUGGUGCCGGCCAGGCUCAGCACGUCUGUAUAUCUAUAUUAGAGCAGUAUUCCACUGUACUGUGUUAAUGGUGCCAGGCUCAGCACGUCUGUAUAUCUAUAUUAGAGCAGUAUUCCACUGUACUGUGUUAACGGUGCCAGGCUCAGCACGUCUAUACUAUAUAUCUAUACUAGAGCAGUGUUCCACUGUACUGUGUUAAUGGUGCCAGGCUCAGCACGUCUAUAUAUCUAUACUAGAGCAGUGUUCCACUGUACUGUGUUAAUGGUGCCGGCCAGGCUGACUUCGGUGGAGGAACCAGGUUAACUGUUCUAGGUGGAGUAAAUCCACUGUGCUGGUGGUGUUGGCCAGGCUGACUUCGGUGGAGGAACCCGGUUAACUGUUCUAGAGUAACAAAGAUGGAGUUGAAACAAAGUCAGAGAGACAGUAAAGAUACUGCUUUGAGUCUCUGUGCUCGUACUCGGAGGCAUAUUUUGGAGCCGGCACCAAACUCACCGUUUUAGAUCCAAACAUCAAAGUCACUGAACCCACAGUGAAAGUCCUAGCACCCUCCGCUAAGGAGUGUGAAGAUAGAAACAAGAAGAAGAAGAAGACCCUAGUGUGUGUAGCCACCCGCUUCUACCCCGACCACGUCACGGUCUUCUGGCAAAUCAACAAUGUCAACAGAACUGAAGGUGCCGGGACCGACAACAGGGCCUUGUGGGAUAAAGAUGGUUUAUACAGUAUCACCAGCAGACUGAGAGUCCCAGCCAAUGAAUGGCACAAACCAGAGAACAGAUUCACCUGCAUUGUCAGCUUUUACAAUGGGACUGACAAUAUAUAUGUGAAUGACACCAUUAGUGGAGAUCUCCAAGGUCAAACUGGGGGAGAGAUAACGACAGAUUACUAUGUGAAGAGCACCCAGACUGCCAAGCUGGCCUACAGCAUCUUCAUCGCUAAGAGUACCUUCUACGGCCUGGUCGUCAUGGUUAUGAUUUGGAAGUUCCAGGGCUCCUCAGAGAAACAGAUUUAACGGAAGCGGCCCAAGGAGGAUGUCCUGCAUGGGUGUUGAUUCUUCCAUGUGCUCAAGAACGGACUGGCAAAUGGGCAAUUCUGGCAAAUGCCAGAUGGACCGAUUCAUCUUUAGCCCAGUGGGCCUGUCUAAAUGGUAUUAUUUUUUUAGCAAAAUAAUAAUAAUUUGCCUAGUAAAGAGGGUCUUAAAGAAAAACAUGGGCAGGUGUGUUCGAAAUGCCUGGGCCGGUUUCUGGUCCCAGUUUGCCCCUGCAUGUAAUUGUAUUGUCCAUUGUGCUUAUUGUUGCCAGUAUCUUUUUAUUGCCCUGUCUAUGUGAAGAUGUUCAUAGGAGAUUAUUAAAAGCACAUGAACUUGCAAUUUAAAUGUAUAUUUGAAUAAAUUCAGCCAAAACAACCUUUCCAUUAACUUACAAAAUCAACGUCUGUUUGUUUUUCCAGUAAUUACAGUAGAGUAUGUAUCGAUACACUUUGCUUUCCAAUUUCUAAAUGUUCAUUUGUGAAUAAUAAACGGUAUAUAAUUAGGGACAGAUCAAAAUGUACCUCUCCACAGUUAAAUAUUUUCACGACCCUCCCCCCUCAUAGAAUUAACUCAAUAUAAUGUUUACGACCACAAUAACAAGAACUGUAGCGACCCUGUUUUUAUCAACGUGGAUAUUGACUUUGCCACUUCAGUCUGCUUUUCUGGCACAGUUGAUGCCACGCAGGGCUUUGGGCCAGAAGGUUGAGGGUUCACCGACCACCACCGACGAGCUCACUCUCCCUGCCUGUUUCAUCACAUUACGAUCAGAGACGGAGGCAGACCAUGAUCAGCUAGGGGGAAAUCAGAUUUUCAACAUUUUGAUGCCAUAUUUAUAUAAAAUAUAUUCAACGAAUCUUCCACCGACAGGUUUAAUAACCAAUGAACAAAGCAAACCACCUUCUGGCACUUCAAUAUCACGGUUUGUGUUGUGAACAAACAGAACAUACACCCCUCCCUACCUUGUAGACUUACCCAGUAUUGAAGGCUUGGCUUGACAAUCUCCUAGUGUCAUUAAACUUUAUAGUGUUUUGGAACAAUGUCUCUUUUCAUUCAUCAUUUGGCCACUGCACAGUUUGGAUUGAUUGAUUUUAUUUGUCUGUAAAAUACAUAUAUAUACAUAAUUUUUUUAAGUGACUGGGAUUGCACAAUAAAGUCUGGGACUUA
Molecule: RNA transcript, 2544 nt
Organism: Oncorhynchus kisutch (coho salmon)
Lineage: Eukaryota; Metazoa; Chordata; Actinopteri; Salmoniformes; Salmonidae
Gene name: M1-specific T cell receptor beta chain
Exons: 7
Source: RefSeq, a predicted model, not a curated record